UGGGAUUCCAAUCUGUGUCUCUCUGAUCCUAAACCAGCUACCCUGAGACAGAUGGGAAGAAAGGGGAAAUGGGAAGACCUUCAAAACCCCUACUGCCCAGUUCUCUUCAGAGCAGAAUAAAGACUAGCAUAGAGAAGAAGGCUGCCACACAGAUAAAGCAACCGAGACUCAGAGCGGUGAGGUGACUUUCCCAGGGCCUCAGAACCAGUGAACAGCAGGGCCAGGAUCAAAACCCAGCCCUGCCUGAUCCUGAAGCCCGAGAUUCCUGCCACUGCCCCACUUAAGAGAAGGAGUCUCAGAGAAAGAACACAGAUGGAGGCUGCUCUCUUCUGCCCCCUGUAACCACAGCACAGCUUGUCCCAGGGGGUGGGGGACAAGAGUUCCUUUUCCCAAAGCACAGCAGGCACAACCCUACGAUAUUAGGAGGUGGGCAGAAGUCCAGUCUAGAGGCCCCCGCUCAGUGGGAGCCUCUGACACCUACUCACCAUUGCCAGAGGUAGAAUAUUCCAGACAUCUCCAACUCUGAGCCCAGGGGCCCCUGAUUCGGCCAGGCCUUGCUUUCCACUGUUCCUGUCCACUCUCUCCAGCCACGUUUGUCUCCCCAAUACUCACCUCUGUAAGCACC
RNAcentral lists this long non-coding RNA (625 nucleotides) under Homo sapiens (human). Its description in RNAcentral is "HSALNT0002691". The record is from RNAcentral. Lineage: Eukaryota; Metazoa; Chordata; Mammalia; Primates; Hominidae.